This 253-nucleotide ribosomal RNA is filed under the name uncultured bacterium. RNAcentral describes it as "partial 16S ribosomal RNA". It matches the Rfam family "Bacterial small subunit ribosomal RNA", at positions 524 to 776 of the family's 1533-position model. The record is from RNAcentral.
UACGGGGGGUGCAAGCGUUGUUCGGAAUUACUGGGCGUAAAGGGCGCGUAGGCGGGUGGACAAGUCUCUCGUGAAAGCCCACGGCUCAACCGUGGAAUUGCGGGAGAUACUGUCUGUCUUGAGUCCGGGAGAGGAGGGUGGAAUUCCCAGUGUAGCGGUGAAAUGCGUAGAUAUUGGGAGGAACACCGGUGGCGAAGGCGGCUCUCUGGACCGGUACUGACGCUGAGGCGCGAAAGCUAGGGGAGCGAACAGG